Molecule: ribosomal RNA, 508 nt
Filed under: uncultured bacterium
Lineage: Bacteria
Description: partial 16S ribosomal RNA
Rfam family: Bacterial small subunit ribosomal RNA
Source: RNAcentral
AUUGAACGCUAACGGCGUGCUUAACACAUGCAAGUCGAACGGCAGCACAGUAUGUAGCAAUACAUAUGGGUGGCGAGUGGCGGACGGGUGAGUAAUACGGAGGAAUCUACCUUGUAGUGGGGGAUAAACCGGGGAAACUGGGGCUAAUACCGCAUAAUCUUUACGAAGCAAAGAGGGCCGCGGAAUAUGCUCUUGCGAAAAGAUUAGCCUAAGGUGGAUUAGCUAGUUGGUGGGGUAAAGGCCUACCAAGGCGACGAUCCGUAGCUGGUCUGAGAGGAUGAUCAGCCACACUGGGACUGAGACACGGCCCAGACUCCUACGGGAGGCAGCAGUGGGGAAUAUUGGACAAUGGGCGAAAGCCUGAUCCAGCAACGCCGUGUGUGUGAAGAAGGCCUUAGGGUUGUAAAGCACUUUCAGUGGGGAAGAAAAGUUCAAGGCUAAUACCCUUGAAUCUUGACGUUACCCACAGAAGAAGCACUGGCUAACUCUGUGCCAGCCGCCGCAGUAA